UACGAAGGGGACUAGCGUUGUUCGGAAUCACUGGGCGUAAAGCGCACGUAGGCGGAAUUGUAAGUCAGGGGUGAAAUCCCGGGGCUCAACCUCGGAACUGCCUUUGAUACUGCGAUUCUCGAGUCCGAUAGAGGUAAGUGGAAUUCCUAGUGUAGAGGUGAAAUUCGUAGAUAUUAGGAAGAACACCAGUGGCGAAGGCGGCUUACUGGAUCGGUACUGACGCUGAGGUGCGAAAGCGUGGGGAGCAAACAGG
Molecule: ribosomal RNA, 253 nt
Filed under: uncultured Hyphomicrobium sp.
Lineage: Bacteria; Pseudomonadati; Pseudomonadota; Alphaproteobacteria; Hyphomicrobiales; Hyphomicrobiaceae
Description: partial 16S ribosomal RNA
Rfam family: Bacterial small subunit ribosomal RNA
Source: RNAcentral